AUGUAAUGUAAUUCAUGGAACAUUAAUGCACAAGAUCUCAUUAGAACUCAAUAGUUAAAUGCUCUUUGGCUACAAUACUAGUAGGAUGAGUGACCUCCCAAGAAUUCCUAGUGUUUUACAUG
Molecule: non-coding RNA, 122 nt
Organism: Picea glauca (white spruce)
Lineage: Eukaryota; Viridiplantae; Streptophyta; Pinopsida; Pinales; Pinaceae
Source: Rfam